This 425-nucleotide ribosomal RNA is filed under the name uncultured bacterium. RNAcentral's name for it is "bacterial SSU rRNA". It matches the Rfam family "Bacterial small subunit ribosomal RNA", at positions 355 to 775 of the family's 1533-position model. The record is from RNAcentral.
UCGAGAAUCUUCGGCAAUGGGCGAAAGCCUGACCGAGCGACGCCGCGUGCGGGAUGAAGGCCUUCGGGUUGUAAACCGCUGUCGUAGAGGAGGAAAUGCAGGUGGGUACUCCCAUCUGUUUGACUGAUUCUAGGAGGAAGGACCGGCUAAUCUCGUGCCAGCAGCCGCGGUAAUACGAGAGGUCCAAACGUUAUUCGGAAUUACUGGGCUUACAGAGUUCGUAGGCGGCUCAGAAAGUGGGGUGUGAAAUCCCUCGGCUCAACCGAGGAAUUGCGCUCCAAACUACUGAGCUAGAGGGAGAUAGAGGUGAGCGGAACUGAUGGUGGAGCGGUGAAAUGCGUUGAUAUCAUCAGGAACACCGGAGGCGAAGGCGGCUCACUGGGUCUCUUCUGACGCUGAGGAACGAAAGCUAGGGGAGCAAACGG